UUUUUUUUUUUUUUUUGGUCUGUAAUCUUUUUUUAUCCUUUUACUGACUCUGUAAUCUGUAGUGGCUUGCCCUCAUUCAUUUCCGGUAUUAAUCAUUUGAGUUACUCUUGCUUAUUUUCUUAAGCUGGCUAGAGCCUUAGUGAUUUUAUUGACCUUUUUGUAGAACUAGCUUCUGGCUUCAUUGACAGUCUCCAUUCAUUCUCGUUUGCAGUUUCAUUGAUUUUGUCCCAUUUCUUAUUUUUUCUUUUUUCCUUCCUCCCUGCCUUCCUGACUUCCUUCCUUCUUUUUUAGUUUCCAAAGUUGAAAGCUUUAGAUUACUGACUUUAGAUCUUUCUUCCUUUCUUUCUUUCUUUUUCUUUCUUUCUUUCUUUCUUUCUUUCUUUCUUUCUUUCUUUCUUUCUUUCUUUCUUUCUUUCUUUCUUUCUUUCUUUCUUUCUCUUUCUUUCUUCCUUUCUCCCUCCCUUCCUUCCCUCCCUCCUUCUUUCUUCCUUCCUUCCUUCCUUCCCUUCCUCCCUCUCCUUCCUUCCUCCCUCCCUUCUUUCUUCCUUNUCUUCCUUCCUUUCUUUCUUUCUUUCUUUCUUUCUUUCUUUCUUUCUUUCUUUCUUUCUUUCUUUCUUUCUUUCUUUCUUUCUUGCCCUCUUUCCCUCUUUCUUUCUCUCUCUCUCUCUCUCUCUCUCUCUUUCUUCACCUGAGACUUAUGGAAGUUCCCAGGCUAGGGCUUGAAUUGGAGCUGCAGCUGAGGCCUAUGGACACACUGAAUCUGAGCCACAUCUGUGACCCACGCUGCAGCUUUUAGAAAUGAUGGAUCUUUAAGCCACUGAGCAAGGCCAGGGAUCAAACCUACAUUCUCACAGAGUUAAUGUCAGGGUCCUAACCCAUUUAGCCACAGUGGGAACUCCCUCUUUCUGUUUUUGAUAUAUCCAAAUAAUACCAUAAAUUUUCCUCUUAAGCACUGCUUUUAUGGAUACCAUUAACUUUUAUGUUUUAUUUUUAUUUUCAUAUUGUUUAGACUAUUUUUAAAUUUGUUUGAGAGUUCUAUUUUGACCCACAUGUUAUUUAGAAAUGUAAUAAUUAAUCUCCAAGUGUUUUGAGAUUUGCCAACUGCCAUCCUGUUAUUGAGUUCUUAUUUAAUGUCACAGUGGUCUGAGAGUGAGAGUAGAUAUUAUAUGAUUUCUAUUCUUUUAAAUUUGUUAAAAUAUGUUUUAGUCUAUCUUGGUGAAUAUUUCAUGUGAGUUUGGGAAGAAUAUUAUUUUGCUGCUGUUGGAUGUCUAAAGAUAUCAAUUAUAUUAAUUGCUGUCAUUGAGUUGAACUGUGCCCUUACUGAUUUUCUUUCCUUUUCUUUUCUUUUUUUUUUUUUUUGUCUUUUCUAGGGCCGCAUCCACGGCGUAUGGAGCUUCCCAAGCUAGGGGUCCAAUUGGAGCUGUAGCACCGGCCUACGCCACAGCCACAGCAACACGGGAUCCGAGCCGCGUCUGCAACCUACACCACAGCUCACGGCAACACCGGAUCCUUAACCCACUGAGCAAGGGCAGGGACUGAACCCGCAACCUCAUGGUUCCUAGUCGGAUUCGUUAACCACUGCGCCACGACGGGAACUCCAGGAAAUAUAUUUUUUCUAAGGCAUCACUCUCCUCCCUCUCAGACUCACUCUGUUUAUGGUCAUUUCAGCGUGGAAGUUUCUGGAAUGUCAGUUCAAUAAAUUUUUAUGCAGCACAAAACACAUUGUAACACGGAAGUCUCCCUUCAUCUCCCUACCCCCACAUUAUCAAGAGUAAUGUGACUUGCUAGAUGGGGCAAAAAGAACCUGUUCUUUCUUCAUCUCAUAUAUGUGAAUUUUUUGGAUUGAAAAAGUUACUCUCCUCCACAGUUAAGUGCUGGACUGCCAAGUAAGAAGAAAAUGAAUGAGUUCUUUACACACUCUCUAAGAUAAGUACAACAGAGCCAGCCUGGAAAGUCAGUCACCAUUUUCAAGGAGAUGCCAGCUCUUCCUUCUUUUUUCAUCCCCUUCUUUGGUAUUAUAAGAUCUGACUGUGGAGACUGUUCACUGCCUGAUUAGCAGUACUAGCUUUUAAAUCCUAAGUAAAAGUAUAUUUUGGCUCUAAAGUUACUCUUGUAUAUAUCUUUGAAGACCCUAAUCAUUCCAUCCUAGAGGGAAAGGGGACCCAGGGAUCUGAGGCUAAGAAGACAAAAUUUGUUUUAACAAGUUAGCCUAAUUGGAUUCCAGAAAAUGAAGUCCACACAUUAAUGAGAUUUAGGUCUAAGAGAAGAAUUUUGAGAAAGGUAAUCUUUGAUGAAUCAUCAGCCAUGGCAACAGCUAUGGAAAGUGGAAUUCCUCAGUCCUAGAACCAACAUAUUUGUUUGGGAAAAAACAAACAAAAGUGAAGGAUUGGGGAUAAACAAGCGAGUAAAGUACAAGUUUUAAAGAUAUUUUCCAUAUACCAGUCAUGUUGACAGUAUGAAUUUUAAUGUUGUGGUUUUAUAUUAUUUUACUUAUUUGGACAAACUAAAAAUCAUUUAGUGUCCUGGUGUGUUGCAUAAUUAACCUUUCAGUGCACCAAAGAUCUAAAAAUAAUGUCAGGCAUAUACGGAUGUGUGGAAGGAUAGACUAAGAAAUGUCCAUAUUGUCUUCCCAGGAUCCAUCCUAAAGAGAGAUUGGAUGGAACUCAGUUUCCCUCACAAGCUAUUUAAGAAAGUUAUUCAUACUUUUUUUCUCAAAUACAUUUUGAAUUAGUUUAUUGCUCCUGACAGUGCUAACUUUUUAUGGCCACAGCUGCAACGAAUAAAAGUUCCCAGGCUAGAGGCAGAAUUGAAGCUGCAGCUGAAGAACUACACCACAGCCAUAGCAACACUGGGCUCAAGCCACAUCUAGGACCUACAUCGCAGCUUGUGGCAAGGAUAGAACCUGCAUCCUGAUGGACAGUGUGUCGGGUUCUUAACCCACAGAACUACAGUGAGAAUUCCUGACAAUGCUACCUUUUAAAGAUAAAAAGUAUCUCCAAUUUUGUUAUCGAAGCAGAAUGUAUUUUUACUGUUCCAAAUCUUUGUCAUUCAGUUCUCAAAGCUAAAUCUUAUUUAAAUAUUUAAGAGUUUGGUAGAGCAGUCUGUGUUCCCUUUACAAGGCAUUCAGAGUGUUAUAUAUUUAGAUGGUUUCCCCUUCCUAUUAAACUGACUUUCAAGGCUUUCAAUGGCAGAGGGAAACUGGAACACUCCUAUAAAUACUGAGUAAAAUGUAAAAUAAUUGCUCUUUGGAGGAGGUCAGUUUAGCAUUAUCUGUUAAUAUUUAGCAUAUUUAGCAUAUUUAUCUUACAUGAAUACUCAGACAUGUUUGCCAGGAGACAUAAAUAUUCACAAAAACAUGCCCAUUCCAACAUUUCGGUAGGAAUAUAGAUAAAUGGCUGUGGAAAGAGUUCAAAUAUCUGGUUAGGUAAAAACAAGGCAAGUUAUAUAAGAAGAGCACAAAUAUAUGUUUCUAAGAACAUGUAAAACAAAGGAAAUAUAGUUAUAUAUUUAUAUUUAUAAUUUAUGAAAUUAUUGGGGUGUUGAUGCUGGCAGUCAGGGAGACAUUUUAUAUAUUAAAGUCUUAUUUUUAUUUUUUUCAAUAUGCAUGUAUUAUUUUUAAUGUAAGCUACUGCAUUUCCUUAAAUUUAAUACGCUGGUACACCUUGAUCCUUCUAGAGAAUAUCAAGAGAACGUUUUUAAUAAUCACUGUCAGGACUGCCACUGCCCAACUGCACUUAGCAUGCUCCAUUGUGUGGUGCACCCCAAGUUACUUUAAUUAAAAAUAAUUUGUUGGAGUUUCCCUCGUGGGUCAGCAGAAAUGAGCCCAACUAGUAUCCAUGAGGAUGCAAGUUCCAUCCCAGGCCUUGCUCAGUGGGUUAAAGAUCUGGCGUUGUCAAAACCUGAGGUACAGGUCACAGACACAGCUAGGUUCAGGAGUAGUUGUGGUUGUGGUGUAGCCUAGCAGCUGUAGUAGCUCUGAUUCAACCUGUAGCCUGGGAACUUCCAUAUGCCUCACCUGUGGCCCUAAAAAUAAAAUAAAAUAAUAAAUAAAUAAAUGAUUGUUAAGGAGUUCCUGUUGUGGUGCAUGGAAUUAGGGGCAUCUCUUCCUUGCCACGACGCAUGUUCAAUUCCCCAGCUUGGCAUAGUGGGUUAAAGGAUCCGGCAUUGCUACAGCUGCAGCUUACGUCAAAACUGUGUCCUGGAUGUGAUCCCUGGCCUGGGAACUUGAUAUACCGUGGGGCAGCCAAAAAAGGAAAAAAAAAAUAAAUAAAAAA
This 4274-nucleotide long non-coding RNA is filed under the name Sus scrofa (pig). RNAcentral's name for it is "lncRNA (ENSSSCG00030046886.1)". Lineage: Eukaryota; Metazoa; Chordata; Mammalia; Artiodactyla; Suidae. The record is from RNAcentral.